AGUGAACGCUGGCGGUAGGCCUAAUACAUGCAAGUCGAACGGCAGCACAGUAAGAGCUUGCUCUUACGGGUGGCGAGUGGCGGACGGGUGAGGCAUACAUCGGAAUCUACUUUUUCGUGGGUGACAACGUAGGGCAACUUACGCUAAUACCGCAUACGUCCUACGGGUGAAAUCAGGGGAUCUUCGGACCCUGCGCGAUUCAAUGAGCCGAUGUCGGAUUAGCUAGUUGGCGGGGUAAAGGCCCACCAAGGCAACGAUCCGUAGCUGGUCUGAGAGGAUGAUCAGCCACACUGGAACUGAGACACGGUCCAGACUCCUACGGGAGGCAGCAGUGGGGAAUAUUGGACAAUGGGCGCAAGCCUGAUCCAGCCAUGCCGCGUGGGUGAAGAAGGCCUUCGGGUUGUAAAGCCCUUUUGUUGGGAAAGAAAAGCAGCAGGUUAAUACCCCGCUAUUCUGACGGUACCCAAAGAGUAAGCACCGGCUAACUUCGUG
RNAcentral lists this ribosomal RNA (492 nucleotides) under uncultured bacterium. RNAcentral describes it as "partial 16S ribosomal RNA". It matches the Rfam family "Bacterial small subunit ribosomal RNA", at positions 29 to 507 of the family's 1533-position model. The record is from RNAcentral.